GGUUAAGUUAGAAAGGGCGCACGGUGGAUGCCUUGGCACUAGGAGCCGAUGAAGGACGGGACGAACACCGAUAUGCUUCGGGGAGCUGUAAGCAAGCUUUGAUCCGGAGAUUUCCGAAUGGGGAAACCCACCACUCGUAAUGGAGUGGUAUCCAUAUCUGAAUACAUAGGAUAUGAGAAGGCAGACCCGGGGAACUGAAACAUCUAAGUACCCGGAGGAAGAAAAGCAAAUGCGAUUCCCUGAGUAGCGGCGAGCGAAACGGGACCAGCCCAAACCAAGAGGCUUGCCUCUUGGGGUUGUAGGACACUCUGUACGGAGUUACAAAGGAACGAGGUAGAUGAAGAGGUCUGGAAAGGCCCGCCAUAGGAGGUAACAGCCCUGUAGUCAAAACUUCGUUCUCUCCUGAGUGGAUCCUGAGUACGGCGGAACACGUGAAAUUCCGUCGGAAUCCGGGAGGACCAUCUCCCAAGGCUAAAUACUCCCUAGUGACCGAUAGUGAACCAGUACCGUGAGGGAAAGGUGAAAAGCACCCCGGAAGGGGAGUGAAAGAGAUCCUGAAACCGUGUGCCUACAAGUAGUCAGAGCCCGUUAACGGGUGAUGGCGUGCCUUUUGUAGAAUGAACCGGCGAGUUACGAUCCCGUGCAAGGUUAAGCAGAAGAUGCGGAGCCGCAGCGAAAGCGAGUCUGAAUAGGGCGAAUUGAGUACGUGGUCGUAGACCCGAAACCAGGUGAUCUACCCAUGUCCAGGGUGAAGUUCAGGUAACACUGAAUGGAGGCCCGAACCCACGCACGUUGAAAAGUGCGGGGAUGAGGUGUGGGUAGGGGUGAAAUGCCAAUCGAACCUGGAGAUAGCUGGUUCUCUCCGAAAUAGCUUUAGGGCUAGCCUCAAGGUAAGAGUCUCGGAGGUAGAGCACUGAUUGGACUAGGGGCCCCUACCGGGUUACCGAAUUCAGUCAAACUCCGAAUGCCGAUGACUUAUCCUUGGGAGUCAGACUGCGAGUGAUAAGAUCCGUAGUCGAAAGGGAAACAGCCCAGACCGCCAGCUAAGGUCCCAAAGUAUACGUUAAGUGGAAAAGGAUGUGGAGUUGCUUAGACAACCAGGAUGUUGGCUUAGAAGCAGCCACCAUUUAAAGAGUGCGUAAUAGCUCACUGGUCGAGUGACUCUGCGCCGAAAAUGUACCGGGGCUAAACGUAUCACCGAAGCUGCGGACUGUUCUUCGAACAGUGGUAGGAGAGCGUUCUAAGGGCUGUGAAGCAAGACCGGAAGGACUUGUGGAGCGCUUAGAAGUGAGAAUGCCGGUAUGAGUAGCGAAAGAGGGGUGAGAAUCCCCUCCACCGAAUGCCUAAGGUUUCCUGAGGAAGGCUCGUCCGCUCAGGGUUAGUCGGGACCUAAGCCGAGGCCGAAAGGCGUAGGCGAUGGAUAACAGGUUGAUAUUCCUGUACCACCUCCUCACCAUUUGAGCAAUGGGGGGACGCAGGAGGAUAGGGUAAGCGCGGUAUUGGAUAUCCGCGUCCAAGCAGUUAGGCUGGGAAAUAGGCAAAUCCGUUUCCCGUGAAGGCUGAGCUGUGAUGGCGAGCGAAUUAUAGUAGCGAAGUUCCUGAUUCCACACUGCCAAGAAAAGCCUCUAGCGAGGUGAGAGGUGCCCGUACCGCAAACCGACACAGGUAGGCGAGGAGAGAAUCCUAAGGUGAUCGAGAGAACUCUCGUUAAGGAACUCGGCAAAAUGACCCCGUAACUUCGGGAGAAGGGGUGCUCUGUUAGGGUGCAAGCCCGAGAGAGCCGCAGUGAAUAGGCCCAGGCGACUGUUUAGCAAAAACACAGGUCUCUGCGAAGCCGUAAGGCGAAGUAUAGGGGCUGACGCCUGCCCGGUGCUGGAAGGUUAAGAGGAGCGCUUAGCGUAAGCGAAGGUGCGAAUUGAAGCCCCAGUAAACGGCGGCCGUAACUAUAACGGUCCUAAGGUAGCGAAAUUCCUUGUCGGGUAAGUUCCGACCCGCACGAAAGGCGCAACGAUCUGGGCACUGUCUCAACGAGAGACUCGGUGAAAUUAUAGUACCUGUGAAGAUGCAGGUUACCCGCGACAGGACGGAAAGACCCCGUGGAGCUUUACUGCAGCCUGAUAUUGAAUGUUGGUACAGCUUGUACAGGAUAGGUAGGAGCCUUGGAAACCGGAGCGCCAGCUUCGGUGGAGGCAUCGGUGGGAUACUACCCUGGCUGUAUUGACCUUCUAACCCGCCGCCCUUAUCGGGCGGGGAGACAGUGUCAGGUGGGCAGUUUGACUGGGGCGGUCGCCUCCUAAAAGGUAACGGAGGCGCCCAAAGGUUCCCUCAGAAUGGUUGGAAAUCAUUCGCAGAGUGUAAAGGCACAAGGGAGCUUGACUGCGAGACCUACAAGUCGAGCAGGGACGAAAGUCGGGCUUAGUGAUCCGGUGGUUCCGCAUGGAAGGGCCAUCGCUCAACGGAUAAAAGCUACCCCGGGGAUAACAGGCUUAUCUCCCCCAAGAGUCCACAUCGACGGGGAGGUUUGGCACCUCGAUGUCGGCUCAUCGCAUCCUGGGGCUGUAGUCGGUCCCAAGGGUUGGGCUGUUCGCCCAUUAAAGCGGUACGCGAGCUGGGUUCAGAACGUCGUGAGACAGUUCGGUCCCUAUCCGUCGCGGGCGCAGGAAAUUUGAGAGGAGCUGUCCUUAGUACGAGAGGACCGGGAUGGACGCACCGCUGGUGUACCAGUUGUUCUGCCAAGGGCAUCGCUGGGUAGCUAUGUGCGGACGGGAUAAGUGCUGAAAGCAUCUAAGCAUGAAGCCCCCCUCAAGAUGAGAUUUCCCAUUCCGCAAGGAAGUAAGAUCCCUGAAAGAUGAUCAGGUUGAUAGGUCUGAGGUGGAAGUGUGGCGACACAUGGAGCUGACAGAUACUAAUCGAUCGAGGACUUAACCAA
RNAcentral lists this ribosomal RNA (2929 nucleotides) under Bacillus velezensis. RNAcentral's name for it is "23S ribosomal RNA". It matches the Rfam family "Bacterial large subunit ribosomal RNA". The record is from RNAcentral. Lineage: Bacteria; Bacillati; Bacillota; Bacilli; Caryophanales; Bacillaceae.